UCUCCGUUGGUGAACCAGCGGAGGGAUCAUUACCGAGUUUACGACUCCCAAACCCCUGUGAACAUACCAUUUGUUGCCUCGGCGGUGCCUGCUUCGGCAGCCCGCCAGAGGACCCAAACCCUUGAUUUUAUACAGUAUCUUCUGAGUAAAUGAUUAAAUAAAUCAAAACUUUCAACAACGGAUCUCUUGGUUCUG
This 195-nucleotide unclassified non-coding RNA is filed under the name plant metagenome. Its description in RNAcentral is "partial contains small subunit ribosomal RNA, internal transcribed spacer 1, and 5.8S ribosomal RNA". The record is from RNAcentral.